AGAAGCGGCAUUGGAGGCUCUACCAUCAGGGAAACACUGCGCAGCCUCCGCACCCGGGAGACAGCGCUCCUUCUCGGCCAUUGAACACGUCCUCCUUGGCCCCCUCAUCCGGGCCUGGAGGUGCCCACAGGACGGAUACAAAGAGUGGGAGCAACCUGGGGCGUCUGUCCAUGGGCAACCAAGGGCAUGUGGUCCCACAUAUCGAUCCGAUCACCUGUUUGUCACACCUGAAACCGGAAGGAUGCUCUAUAUCUACGAGCACAUGGUGGUGGUCGUACGGGGCUCUACCCAUGCGGCAGUUGGACAUCUUGUACAGACGCGUCACACAUGCUGAUGGACACAUACACGUGUGCUCUUUAAAGCCAAGACCAGAGCCUGUUCCUGUCUUUGGUUAUCUAGCUGUAUGAGUGUUAAUCAUCCAUCAUAAAGCUAGAUAACCGAAAGUAGGAAUGACCUUCACACCUUCAGGGGACAAAAAGAAGGCAGAAGAAACACAAGAUGUUCUUACUCUUUCGGAAAAGGAGAUGUUGUGAUGCCAAGAUGGUGACGAUCAUCCAAGUUUCCAUCACUGAAAAUUUGACCAUCAUCAGUAUUCAAGCUUGGCUGCUGCGGUACUUAGAUUUCAUCCCGAAAAUUUUGACAACUACAAUUGACAGCUGUUCAGUUCAUGCCAAUGUUUUCAAAAGUAAUUAAAAAAUGUCUUAUUUCAAUUCUUGUGUGCUUUUCAUGCUUCCUACCAACUUCUACUGAUAUUGAAGUUAUUGACGAUGAAAAUUUCUGCAGAUUUAAUUGAAGUAGUUACUCAAAGUUUUGCUCUUAGAAUACCCACAAAAGUCUAUUUUAGUGACAGUCAUUCUUUUCAACGAAUGAGCGUAACAAUACAAUCCAACAGAUCAACAAAUAUCCACGUGAUGUCCAAAGUGAGUCAGACAGAAGGGUCACGACCUUUCAUUCUCCCGGGACGCAGCUUGACCCGACACGAGUCACCGCACGCGUGCCACUUCAUCCCAGGGGUCCUCUCUGAGUUGACCCUCACUCUGAUCCACCAAAGCAUUUGUGUGAACCUCAAAUUAAAGACUUUGUAAGUUCAAUUGCUAUGAGUUGAAGCUUGUUAUUGUUUUUUUCCAUUAAAAAUCCCUAAUUUUCCAAACCUCUAACAGACUUGUUAACCAGAUAGUCAACAGUCAUGUUCAGUGCUUUGAAAACUGCAAAUUAGAUCUGGCGGUAAUAACAGUUCAGCAGUUGUAGUAAAGCAUUUUAAUCCAUAAACACGAUAUCUCUGGAAAAUACACUGGGGAACACGUUUUGUUGUUUUACGUCUAAAAGCUUUUUUUCCAACUACUUUUUGUGUGAGGAAUCCUAACCUUGGAAAUCUAAUAACUAUCAUGUACUACACCUCAUAUUAAUAAAAAAGGAAAAAAUUGGUUCGCGACUGUCGACAAAAUUUCGGAAGGACGAGACUUCGGCAUCGUAAAGUCGAAAUCACCUAA
Long non-coding RNA from Corythoichthys intestinalis (scribbled pipefish), 1490 nucleotides. RefSeq lists it as uncharacterized. The record is from RefSeq and is a predicted model, not a curated record. The transcript has 3 exons. NCBI's taxonomy places the organism in Eukaryota, Metazoa, Chordata, Actinopteri, Syngnathiformes, Syngnathidae.